GUUGAACGCUGGCGGCGUGCCUAAUACAUGCAAGUCGAGCGAACGGACGAGAAGCUUGCUUUUCUGAUGUUAGCGGCGGACGGGUGAUUAACACGUGGAUAACCUACCUAUAAGACUGGGAUAACUUCGGGAAACCGGAGCUAAUACCGGAUAAUAUUUUGAACCGCAUGGUUCAAAAGUGAAAGACGGUCUUGCUGUCACUUAUAGAUGGAUCCGCGCUGCAUUAGCUAGUUGGUAGGGUAACGGCUUACCAAGGCAACGAUGCAUAGCCGACCUGAGAGGGUGAUCGGCCACACUGGAACUGAGACACGGUCCAGACUCCUACGGGAGGCAGCAGUAGGGAAUCUUCCGCAAUGGGCGAAAGCCUGACGGAGCAACGCCGCGUGAGUGAUGAAGGUCUUCGGAUCGUAAAACUCUGUUAUUAGGGAAGAACAUAUGUGUAAGUAACUGUGCACAUCUUGACGGUACCUAAUCAGAGAGCCACGGCUAACUACGUG
Molecule: ribosomal RNA, 497 nt
Filed under: uncultured bacterium
Lineage: Bacteria
Description: partial 16S ribosomal RNA
Rfam family: Bacterial small subunit ribosomal RNA
Source: RNAcentral